RNA transcript from Ostrea edulis (European flat oyster), 2821 nucleotides. RefSeq lists it as uncharacterized. Lineage: Eukaryota; Metazoa; Mollusca; Bivalvia; Ostreida; Ostreidae. The record is from RefSeq and is a predicted model, not a curated record. The transcript has 7 exons.
UCGUUAGGGAAGUAAAUGGACUCUACUAUUGAUUUACCAUACAAAAGGAAAACGAAAGUAAAUGUAUUUCAUUCUUAUUCUAAAUCGUUAGGGAUAAUGCUGUGAAACUGAAUCAGCCCGAGAAUCUGUAACAUACUUGUCCAUUUUGACAGAUAAUACUUAGGAAUGGGUGCUGAGAACGCCUUACAGUUUGUCGACCAAUAUUUCUCUUCUCCAAAGUCGUACCAGGUUUGUUUCCCUCUUGCAUUUUUGGCAUGGUUUCUCCAGAUGAUGGCGCUAGGAACCCAGAAUUGGGCCAAAACCAGCAACAGCACGAUAGGAUUGUGGACGUAUUGUAAUUACACCACCACGGAUUACAUGUGCUGUCAGACAGUGGAGAACUUCCUGGCCAAAACCUACAACAUCCCGAGGGUCCCAGUUUGGCUCUCGGCCUCACGAGUCUUCGAGAUUUUCGGCUUCUUGACGUCCUUUGUAUUUUUGACUUCGUUUGUUGUGUAUAUCGCUGUGUUAGAAGUUGAUUUGAAAAAGAAAAUAAAAACUUUCUGCUGUGUAUUCUGUAUGGCAACCGUAAUUGUUGUUCUAAUUGGUGGCUUCAUCUACAUGGGAGAGCAUUCUAAAGAGACUUGGAUGAAUUUGGCUAACCUGUCGUCAUCUUUUGGAACGUGUGUUGUUUCAGCCAUCUGUCAUAUCGUCUGUUUUCUACUUCUCGUAAUAGCCAAUGACAAUGCAGUACAGCCAUUUGAUAUUGAACGACAAUGGCAAGGACCAGCAAGUGCUCUCGGAACAAAUGAAUUUUGGGAUGAAAUAUUAGACCAUCCCACAACCCCAAAGUAUUGGGAAAAGUUUGAGGGAGGAUAUCACGUGAAGCGGUAUCUCAGUCUUCAAGAUGUAUGUAAAGUGACCAAUGUUAGCCCAGGAGUAUUAAACGCUGUUGAGAAACUUAUACAGAAAACCUGGGAUCAACAACACGUUGGCAUUGGUGCUGAUGCAAAGAAUAUUCACUACAGUUCCAUUAUUGUUCAAAAAGUUCAGAGAAUCGAAAAUGUUGAUCUAUGGCAUAAUUACGUGCAUGCAAGAGAAAAAUUGAUUCGUAGCUUACUGAAAGAUGGUCCCUUUGAUAAGCUAGAAGAUAGAAGUUCACGGGGAUCUAUCUAUACAUCGAGGAACAUGGAUACUAUUUUGAAAACGGAACUAUAUUCAGAAUUGAAUGAGUACUUACUUUUCCAUGGUACAAAACCUAUGGUGGUUGAUAAUAUCAUGCAAAAGGGAAUGGACCCACGCCAUGCCGCCGAGCGCCCCAUGAUGGGGAGAGGAAACUACUGUGCUGAGAGCUCUACCAAAUCUGAUCAACAUGCAGAUGCGUCUAAUCAUCGACAGAAUGUUGGACUGAAGAUGUUUCUUGUCCGUACGCUUCUCGGUAGAAUUUAUGUGGCCAAUAGCGUUCAACAGUACAAACUCCCUCCUUGUACCCAAUGCUUACACGACUCCUGCAAAAACCAAAACCACCUGCAUUUUAACUCUGUCGUAGCAGACAUUUCUAAUAAGAUUUUCCGAGAAUUCAUCGUAUAUGACGCUAAUCAAUGUUACCCGGAAUACCUCAUCACAUACGACAGGAUAUAAUGACGUAUGACUUUCAGCCAUCAAAUUAUGAUGAACUGCAUUAUACACAAACCUCCCUCAACAAGACAUCCAUGAAAAGGUGAAGAUAACGAACAGUAAUCAAUCUAUAAAGAAUACAAAAUAGAGAGCUGGGCAAACACACACCAGAAGUGGGAGCAGGUGCCUAGGAGGAGUAAGGAUCCCCUGUAGACCGGUCAUACCGUCCAAGAGCCCUAUAUCUUGAUAUAUAAAUGGAGUAAUCCUUAGUCAAAAUGAGUGUGUAAAGGACCGCUAACAAUUGGUAUGAAACUUGUCAGACAGCAUUUGGCCCAAUGAUGAAUUGGCAAACUAGAACGUUUAUAACGACCACAGAAUUUGUGAAAUGCUAACUUUAAAAGAGACUAACUGUUAAAACCCCUGCAAUAUCAACUUGUUUGUCAGUAGCCUGCGUCGGUUUAAAAACUUCUCAUACACAGUAGAAGCUCUUGCGUAAUGAUCAGUUGAGAGACAUAAACACAAUAUGCAAGUGAUAAUGGAACAUUGCUACAUAUAUAUGGGAAGUUGACGAUGGAGAACCUGAAGUCAUCUCGUUUGUCAUAAAGUUGAGUUGUUGGUUUGUCGUCAAUAUCUAUUUUCAACAAAAUAUCCAAGUACGAAGCAGAUGUGGAAGACUCUGUGGUGUCUUUUAUUUUGAUUUCACUGGGAUAUAUCGAAUCGAUAUAUGAAUGUAUGAAUGAAUAUGAUUAUUAUUGUUGAUAGAUAAAACGUCGUCGAUAUAUUUAAUAGUCCACAGCAAUAACAUUUUUUUUCUCGUGUAAAAGCUUUUGAGUAAAUUCUGUCUCAUAAGAACAUAAACACAUAUCAGCUAAUGAAGGAGCACAAUGCGUGUCCAUGGGAAAUCCAACGGAUUGUUUGUUGGAAGACCUGAUCACCAAAGACUACGAAGAUAUUGUCAAUGAGGAACUCCAGCAUAUUUUUUAUUUCAACUUCAGAGUACAUGUGCGUGGAAUCAGAAUGAUGUUUAACAAAGUAAUUUUUUAUGAUUGAUUUCUAGAUUUUUCAAUUUUUUGUUAACGAAACAACUGUCUCUGAUGUUAAAAAGACCCGUCUUUAAUUUAUCGUGAGGAAUGGUCGACUAAAGUGUUGAAAAGUCACACGUUUUGAUGUUGUUGAUUUGAGAAAAGUUUUGUUAUAUCAAACCUAAUAAACGUUCUUCAGAAUU